CUCGGGGUGAUCAACAAGCUACCUGGUGGC
This 30-nucleotide non-coding RNA is filed under the name Homo sapiens (human). Lineage: Eukaryota; Metazoa; Chordata; Mammalia; Primates; Hominidae. The record is from RNAcentral.